GAAAAAGGCAAUGUCUGAAAAGAUAGAACGGAUGGAACUUGAUUCAGAAUCAAAAGACAAGCAACAUAUGGAGCUUCAGGAACUAUACAAUUCUCAGCAGUUGUUGACCACUGAAUUGAGUGUCAAACUUGACAAGACAGAGAAAAAGCUUCAGGAAACUCAGCAUACUUUGGCUGAUCUCGAAGAGAAACAUAGGCUGGCAAUUACAACAAUUAGAGAAAAGGAA
Molecule: unclassified non-coding RNA, 226 nt
Filed under: Hevea brasiliensis (rubber tree)
Lineage: Eukaryota; Viridiplantae; Streptophyta; Magnoliopsida; Malpighiales; Euphorbiaceae
Source: RNAcentral